GGCUGUAGCUCAGUUGUAGAGCGCUUGCCUAGCAUGCCUGAGGCACUGGGUUUGAUCCUCAGCAUGACA
This 69-nucleotide transfer RNA is filed under the name Marmota monax (woodchuck). RNAcentral describes it as "tRNA.Ala". The record is from RNAcentral. Lineage: Eukaryota; Metazoa; Chordata; Mammalia; Rodentia; Sciuridae.